This 59-nucleotide ribosomal RNA is filed under the name Nuphar polysepala (yellow pond lily). RNAcentral describes it as "partial 5.8S ribosomal RNA". RNAcentral also lists the same sequence under 4 other names. Lineage: Eukaryota; Viridiplantae; Streptophyta; Magnoliopsida; Nymphaeales; Nymphaeaceae. The record is from RNAcentral.
UGAACGCAAGUUGCGCCUGAGGCCAUUUGGCCGAGGGCACAUCUGCCUGGGCGUCACGC